Molecule: ribosomal RNA, 468 nt
Filed under: uncultured bacterium
Lineage: Bacteria
Description: partial 16S ribosomal RNA
Rfam family: Bacterial small subunit ribosomal RNA
Source: RNAcentral
GAUGAACGCUGGCGGCGUGCUUAACACAUGCAAGUCGAACGGUGAAGGCGGAGCUUGCCCUGCUGGAUCAGUGGGGAACGGGUGAGUAAAACGUGAGCAAUCUGUCCCUGACUCUGGGAUAAGACCUGGAAACGGCGUCUCAUACUGGGUACAAGCUUCUAAGGCAUCUUGUGCAGCUGUAAAGAACGUCGGUCCUGGCUGAUAUGGAUGCUUAUCAGCUUGUUGGUCAGGUAGCGACGCACGAAGGCGUCGACGGGUAGCCGGCCUGGGAGGGUGACCGGCCACACUGGGACUGAGACACGGCCCAGACUCCUACGGGAGGCAGCAGUGGGGAGUAUUGCACAAUGGGCGCAAGCCAGAGGCGGCGGCGCUGCGUUCGUAACGACGGCCUUCUAGUUGUAAACCUCUUUGAGCAGGGAAGAAGCGAAAGUGACGGUACCUGCAGAAAAAGCGCCGGCUAACUACGUG